This 526-nucleotide unclassified non-coding RNA is filed under the name Hevea brasiliensis (rubber tree). Lineage: Eukaryota; Viridiplantae; Streptophyta; Magnoliopsida; Malpighiales; Euphorbiaceae. The record is from RNAcentral.
AAAAAUUGAAAAAAAAAAAAAAAAUCUUCACAAAUUGAAGAGCUACUAGGCCUUGCUUCUUCAAUCAUGAAGAAGUUAAUCUCCCAUCACAAUGAUUUUCUGCAAAAAGGUCACCUUGGAACUGACAGACCAAGCUCUGAAGAAAAUAAAAACAAAGGAAUCAGAAAACUGAUGAGCAAAAUGACUAUAAAAACAUGAAUAGCAGCAUUCCAGCAUAAAUUUACAACAGGACUCCUUUGUUCUGCAAUCUCAGCAAGUGUAGUAAUCCUGAUAUUUAACAAUAUAUAAUUCACUGGGCUGCAAUUUCCCCAAUAGUCACAAACUUGGUUCUUAAACAUUUUAUUAAUGUCUAAAAGCUAUAAUUAAUAACAUUUAACAAGUCAUGCAACAAAUGUCAUAUGCACAGUUUUCCGCAUUGUUACAAGUCAUAACUGUACAAUAGUUGAUGACAGGACCCACCUCCAAAAAACAGCACACAUGUUUCACGUACCAUCAACUCCAUUUGACAAAGACGCAUUGGGCCAUA